This 495-nucleotide ribosomal RNA is filed under the name uncultured bacterium. RNAcentral describes it as "partial 16S ribosomal RNA". It matches the Rfam family "Bacterial small subunit ribosomal RNA", at positions 30 to 507 of the family's 1533-position model. The record is from RNAcentral.
UGAACGCUGGCGGCGUGCCUAAUACAUGCAAGUCGAGCGAACAGACGAGGAGCUUGCUCCUCUGACGUUAGCGGCGGACGGGUGAGUAACACGUGGAUAACCUACCUAUAAGACUGGGAUAACUUCGGGAAACCGGAGCUAAUACCGGAUAAUAUAUUGAACCGCAUGGUUCAAUAGUGAAAGACGGUUUUGCUGUCACUUAUAGAUGGAUCCGCGCCGCAUUAGCUAGUUGGUAAGGUAACGGCUUACCAAGGCAACGAUGCGUAGCCGACCUGAGAGGGUGAUCGACCACACUGGAACUGAGACACGGUCCAGACUCCUACGGGAGGCAGCAGUAGGGAAUCUUCCGCAAUGGGCGAAAGCCUGACGGAGCAACGCCGCGUGAGUGAUGAAGGUCUUCGGAUCGUAAAACUCUGUUAUUAGGGAAGAACAAAUGUGUAAGUAACUAUGCACGUCUUGACGGUACCUAAUCAGAAAGCCACGGCUAACUACGUG